Molecule: long non-coding RNA, 16297 nt
Filed under: Gallus gallus (chicken)
Lineage: Eukaryota; Metazoa; Chordata; Aves; Galliformes; Phasianidae
Source: RNAcentral
GGAACUGCAGCAUCUGAAAUUGCUGUAGGUGCUUGCUAGGCGAAAUGCACCUGAUCUCUAAAAUCUAUAUUCAUUUAGUGAAGACAAGGACUCAUGGCAGCUUGAGUGACAGUGCACAGUUUAAUAUAUUAAGCUUAGAAUAUUUCAAAAAUUGGAUAUUGAAGAUGAGCUUGAUUUUUCAUUUCCAUUUUAAAAGAAGGGUUAAUUUGUGAAGUUACAUUUGUUUCUUUACCUGUGUUAUUAGGUUAGUGCAUACACGUGCUUUCAGAUAUCUAGUCACUCUAGAACGAAGACCUUACACACUUUGCAAAGUGUUUUCCUUGACAGCUUAUGUGUAAUUUUUCAAAGGCAAAAGUGAUGUGCUGAAUAUUAUGCUUAUUUAGAAACCUAAUAGAACAUGAAGAAUAUAAAGAAGAAAUUGGAAGGACUUUUUUUUUUUUUUUUUUAACUAGAAACUCAAUCUUAAGUAAGCUUUUUCCUGACCACAUCAGUACGCUGAGUUACUGAAUUCUGACAGAAUCAGAAGAUUGCUAUAGGGAUUCUUCUUUGUCACUGCUCCUUCUAGAAAGUGUCUUGAGAUUUUCUGUUUUAAUUGUUUGAAAGCGUAGCUGAAUGGAAGGGAAUAGUGAAUGCUACCCAUCUGCAAAGUUUGCAGUAAUCCUUCCCCAGUCAUGUGUUUGAGUAAAGAGAUGUCUUACAUAAGUGUAUGGAGGCAGAAGACGCAGUAAUUUAGAAAAUUAUUUUAGGUCAGGAAAACAAUUUUCUUAACAAAAACCUUCAGUAAUGUGAAAAAGUACCCCCCUGUGUUAAUUAGAACAUGUCAGGCUGAUAAACUUUCUUUUUAUUUCAAAGGCUCAGCUCUGUAUUACAGCCAUCCCUUUGCUGUGUCAUCUUCAGUGGCUGUUUUGGUAGGUGAAAGCAAGGGCUCUGUAACUGCCACUUCACAGCUGGUAUAGAACAACAGGCUCAAACUGUCACUGUACAAUUAAGGACAUUUGUUUGAAAGACAUUUCCCUAUCAAAAUGAUAAUUUCUAAUUCUUGAAUCACCACAGAAAAUAAAGGUAAAUACGUAAGACUGAGGGGAGACCUUAUUGCUCUCUUCCAAUAACUGAAAUGUGAUUGCAGUGAUAGGGGGUUGGUCUCUUCUCACUGGUGACAGGUGACAGGACAAGGGGAAAUGGCCUCAAGUUGUGCCGGAGAAAGUUUAGGUUGGAUAUCAGGAAAAACUUAUUUUUAGAAAAGGUUGUUAAGCACUGGAAUAGGCUCCCCAGGGAGGUGGUUGAGUCACCAUCCCUGGAUGUGUUUAAAAACCGUUUGGAUGUGGUGCUCAGGGACAUGAUUUAGCGGAGGGUUGUUAGAGUUAGGGUAGUAUGGUUAGGUCGUGGUUGGACUUGAUGAUCUUUGAGGUCUUUUCCAACCUGAACAACUCUGUGAUUCUGUGAGAAGCCUAUGGAAGUGGUGGGGGCAAAAGCUGAGAAGAAAGUCUCUGAAGAAGAUAAAGAAAAACAUUUAGGCAUGGUGCUACUGCAGCUGUCGCAGUGUCAUGUUUAUUCAUGUUCAUAGAAUGAAAAUAACUGGUUUACUCCUACUUAUGUGAUGCUCUAAAAUGCACUGGAAUUGCACUGUCAGACAAUUCUUUCACUCAGUCUGAUCUUCCAACUACAAAUGAUUGUAAUGUAAAAUGGAGCAAACCUUCAAGGUCACACAAUUAUUAUAAGGGUAUAUUUGAAAGUCUUCAAAGUGUUCAAAGUUGGUGUUCAAAAUCAUCUGUUGAGUAGUUUUUAAAGAUGUAAAAAUAAGAAAUGAAUGUGUAUGUCUGCAUAUAGGCUUAUCUGUGGAUUUCUGAUGAGUGCUUGAUUGUGGGAAUUUUAACCUGACAGCAGUUUUCAUCUUCACUUACCUACUUCCAGCGUGGAAUACUCUAUCAUAAAAAACAGACUACGUUCAAGUAUAUUCAUAGCAAUUGUAGGGGAAUGCACUUCAUGGUUUUAUAGUGAGGCGUUUGACUUCACAAAGCAACUGAAUUGUUUCACAUACUUCCUUUCAGCAUCUACGUAACUUGAUUCAGUAGUAAUCAUCAGUAAGAGGAAUAGCACUCUCUUGAGAUGUGAAGAUUUGGUUGUAAGUCAUAGUUUUCUAGUGCUUCACUGCAGAAGCUAGGAAUGUCGAACUGUAUGUAUUAUUUUUGUUUAAUUGCCUGGAAGUGUCCAGCAUUGUUACAGUAAAUCACAAAUAACAUGACUUAGCAGCAGUACUUCUUGUUCAGGUGAAUGCUUCAAGACUAGUCUAGUGAAAAUCUCUUUCCCUAAAAAAUCUGUAGGUGGCUGUUCAAGCUCCAAGGCUGACCACUUGCUUCUUGGACAACAUAAGGAUUUUGCACAGACCAGUCAGCAUGCAUUCUUGCAUUAGUUUAUGUUCUUCCUCUGUUUUUUUACAGUCUCUCAAGUUUGAUAAGAACUCCUAAAACAUCCUGGAUGCUUUAGUACCUUUGGAGAAAUUAUGUGCAGGCUCAAGGGGAGGAAGUGAAACAGGAAGACAGACGUGAGAUGGGCAGGAGGCAUUCUUUGGGUGGCAGAACAGACAGCCUGCCAUUGGGCAUGAAAAAUCAUUCUUGACCCUUGCCUCCUCUUCCUGUUGUCAGAGUUGAGGAUAAGGUUGGUUAGGGUGGUUGGGAGUAAAGCAAGGUUAAUGCGUCUGGAAUUUAUAUAACUAUUUCGUACACUGUUGAGAAAAACACCUUACUCUGAAGCCUAGAUUCUGCUCCUAGAGCAAUUCAGUGUUGAAUUACUUAAUGUGAAAGCCAUACAUUUUUGGUCCAUGUCCACAAAGGUAAUCAGUUCUCUUUUGAUUUCGGUAUUAGGUGAUUUGGCUUUCAACCUUUCUGCACUUCACAUCUUGAACUCCACAGCAUGUUAAGUUUUUCACACUUCAGAGCAGUCAUAAAAAAGAAAUAUGUCAAAUCUAUAAAAAUUCAAAUAAUGAAGUGUGAACAAGGCCCCAGUAAUAUUUUGCAGAAAGGUUAAGAGAGAGUGGUUGUAGAAGAAAAAAGGGCACUGAUAAAAUGUUGUAAAUGUAAUAAACAGAAAGGAAGAAAAGCACUCUGAAAAUUUGAGAGGUUCUGCCUGUAGGAAACUGUAACUUUUGGAGUUUAUUUGGAUAAGCGUUUCACAGAACGCUGCAGUAAUUAUGACUUCCAAGACUGAAGAGAUAAUAGCAAACCUGAAUCCAGCUCAUAGGAUGGUCCUUCCAUGAAUAUAAUUGAAGCCUUUGCCUCAGUAAGAGUAGGCCAGUUGACCCAAUUUAGCAAAACAUCCGUCCCCUGAUGCAUAAAGCUGCAGGUAUUUUUCUGUUGGCAGAACAUUAGAAAUUGUGAUUGAGAGUGAAUGUGCCAAAUUUGAGAGUCUAAAUCCUUUGGAAAGACCCAGCACAUCAGGAAGGGUCUUGCAAAUGGGUCAGCAAACAGUUGCAAUGGACAAAACUGUAAUUAUUGUCAUAAAGAUUUGUGCUAAAAAGCAGAAAGUGAUUAUUUCUGAGCUUAUAGGCAAGAAAAAAAAAGAUGCAAGUUACCUCCUUAGGGGCACUUCUGUCAUCUAAAAAUAUUAAUUCCUGGAUGUAACCCCUUUUCCUCAUUGGUUGUUAAUUUUCAAGAAGUACCCUGUGCCAAUAAUCACUCCUUAAAUUAAAAAUAAAUACAUAAAUAGCUUAAGCUAAGAAUCAGCAUUGAUCCUUAUGAGUUAUGGUGGUGGUAAGAGAGUAGUUUUGUUUCUCAACAAAUUUAAACUUUAACAUAGGGAUUUUUCUUCUGUUUUAUUUUCUCUAGAAGAUGUGUUAAAGUAAGUAAUGGAUGAAUUACUCUAAUCCAAAUGAACGAAAGGAGGGCUGACCCUUACUCCUUACUCCCCUCCCCUCUGUAUUAAUUUGACUGUUUCAAAGCAGACAUGCCCUUGGCUUUAUUUGGCUUUUGGUUUUAGCAACUAAUCUGCUGUGAAGUUGGCCUGUCACUCUUCAAAGUAUUCCAUAUCCCAUCAGUUUUGCUCUUAUAUAAUGAUGCAGGACCCAAAUUAUAACAUUCGUGAGUGAGAAGGGUACAAAGACUUGUGUUUUGUUUUGAAGUGCUGUGUCAUGGUUACUGAGCAGAUAUAGCAUUUUUGUAGGCAAUGAGAACAAGGUAUCCCAUGAAAAUAUAUGCCAUAUUCAUAUUUGUUAGGUUUGUGACUGCUUUCUUCUGCUUCCAUUAUAUAUGAAAACAUGUUUAUGCUUAGUCUUGCAGUUUAGAGCAGAGGAUACCAUAAUAGGAAUGAUAUGUUGAGAUUUAACUGAUCUAUGGAUUGUACUACAAUAAAGCAAUAAUUCAUCUCCCCUAUGAUUGUUCUAAUUUUUAAUUCAGCUGUGGCAUUCUGUACCAUGCUGUUUAUCUUGAUUUUUCAUUCACUCAUUUAUCUGAUAGUUGUGAAAUUGGCAGAUGGUUUGUGAUGCUUUGCUGGGAGUGGGUGUACCAAUCCCUGUGAUUAAAAGGCUUGCUGAUUUGCUUACCCGAAAGGAUUAAUGGCAGGCAGAAAGGGCUUUGUUUGAAAAAUCCAUGCCCCAUAACUCAACAAGGGGACAAAAAUGUAGACUGGAAGUAAUCCAGUAUUACAACUGCUUUAUGGGGAAGCUUUGUACAAAACUUACUGACUCAGCAGCUGGACAUUUCCUGAUGAGAUCUGAACUAUCAAGUAAAAUGCAGCUUCACACUGUUUUCUCAGUCAUUCCAUGGGAGUAAAGUUCAAGUUUUUAAGCAGGUCAGCAAAAGAACUGAAUGACAUGUGAAACUUUGGAGGGCUGCCCUGCAUAGCUUGCUUCUGAAAGCUAUGCAUGAAAUCUGACCUUGACCCUUCCUUCCUACCUAUGCAAUUCAAGAAUUCAAAAUUUUUGCUUUCAUUUCUUUUGCAAAUUUAGGUGGAGUAAGGUACACCAGAGCUUAGAUGACAGACACCUAUCUCCACAGACCAAAGUGCUUCUCUGCAUGCAAAAAUAUCUAUUUUGUGCCCAAGAAGUUGAAAUGGAGGUAUUUACUUUGCAUUUCUUAGUGUUUUAGUACUGUACUGCAUAGUACUAAGAGUAAGCAGUCUAUGCAUGUCUAUAUUAUAAUCCUAACAGGCUGUGGGCAAUUAAGAAAUCUUUUCUCAAAACAAAUGGCAUUCCUUGCAUUUUUUACAUAAUUGCAUUAUCCUGACUUUGGCAUCCUUUGUAAGUUUCAGGUAUUAUUGCAUGCAGAUUGAACCAGCUCCAUUUGCUUGCAGUUGUUCCUUGUAAUAACUUUUCAUUUUUUAUGUUGGUUAUGUGGGCGGAAACUUCAGCCUUACCAGUGUAGUAACUGUUGCAGGGAAAAUGAGAAUCACCUUGUAAGGGAUUAAUUCUACGUCUCCUUGAAUCUCUUUCUGAUUUCUGUCCUGUAGAUCAAGAGUUGGUCUUUUAUCUUAGCUAAUCCUCUCGGAGUUGCAGACAGCUUUCCAGCCUUAGAUCAGCCACAGACUCUCACAAGGUUUAAUUUAUCUUCUGUCCUCAAGCUUAAAGCAUACACAUUUUAAAUAACAAACAUGUUGGUCUUACCUGAGGUAUGACUCUCUACUGUUGCAAGCAAUACGCUUUCACAGUUAGCUUUCUCUGCAUGAUUACUGACAAAAAGACAUUGAGAAUACCAAAAAUCUGCUUCUAUCAGAUGAUUCUCUGCAGGUUUUCCAGCAGCCAUUCCCUAAAAUACUGUGUGGUUUUGAUUGCUAGCAGUUGUCUUCCAUAUGUUUGGAUACUUUAAUCUUUCCUGCUCAGAUUAUUUUCUGUAAUUUAAUUUCCUUCCUGGUGCUAGAUGCUGCUCAGAAAUCACUUUGGACCACAGCGCUUGGGAGAAAGACCCUAAUUUAUGAAUGUAUUUUCAGUCACUUCUGCUUAACGUAUAAUAUACUUCUUCAUGAGCACUUUCUAAGUAUUCCAAAGAAUGAACAAAAUCAUUCAGAACUCUGUUUUUUCUGUCAUUACUGUUGAUAUCAGCCAAGUUAGUCAAUGGUGUUCUUUUCUACAGAAUCUGAGAUCCAGCUGGAAAGCCUGGCUAAUAGACCAAAGAUAAAAUUUUCAGACAGACCCAAAUAACCUAACGUCCUACCUACAAAUGAGUUUAAUAAAAAAUACUUAGAACUCUGAAUUUUAUUGAAAGUACUCAUGCAUUCUUUUGCGUUCUUUUCUUUGCUAGAUAUAAAUCCUGGGAUUUUAAAUGUGCAUAUUUUCCAUAUUGUCUCAGCAUUCUCGGGAGACGCUGUGUGUAAUCUGGUUUUAAUUAGAUUUGUGUUAAAGGGAGACAGUCUUUAUCCUAUGUGAACAACUAGACAUAUGUUGAAUAUUUUAAGAGCAGUCUCUGACUGCUAUAAUUGUGUAUGUGAUUAUUUAUGAUCUUUUUUCCAAGUUAUAAAAAACCAACCAAAAUUAGCCUAGUGCAACUGAGGCAUGACACUGAUAUUGUUCUGCUCUCAGGUAAUAGAUGGGAAUAAACUACUGACCCCUAAAUGUUUAUCUGGAGUGAAUGAUCUUAAGGUGCUCAUUUACCUAAAAUUCAGUGGCAGAGGAUAGCUUCACCAAUCAAAUAAUUUUCCUUUCACCAAAUUCCUCCAUAUUUAGAUGGAGUACUUUCUACUAGACAUUUACUUUAGAUAUUUUUUUUCCAGAACUUCUGCUUUGGCUAAAAAUGAAUAGCUUAAUGGGGGAAAAAAUGUCCUAUGCAUGAUCUGUGAAUAAUUAAAGACAAGUAAGGGCAGUAAAUUCUUUUCUGCACAUAUUUUUGAUGCGUGUGCAAGGUGCUGCUCGAGGAUUAGGAAAAUUGAUUAGUACAAAAGUAAACUCAUUCUACUUUGAUAAUCCUUGUAAAACUAUAGGAUGCAGCCAGUAUAACAUUUUUUUCUAGGCUUUUUUUUUUUUUUUUUUUUAAUGAAAAAUGUUCUUUUCCAAUUUUCAGGUAUACAUCUAAUGAAGACCUGUACAAUGUCCAGAAAGAAUUCUUAAGUAGGUUAUAUUCUUGAUUUUAGUCAUAGAGCAUAUUCUUUAAGCUUGCAGAAAAUAUCCCUUUCAAAAGUCUAAUGUUCCUGGUGACUUAGUGAAUAACUGUAUUUUAACAAUGUACAUACUCUGUAAUUAUCAGGCCCUUUUGCUGGGACCAUACAAUGAUACCUUGUUUUAGCGUGCUAUUUCCAUUGUAUAAUGUAUAAAAGACUCAACACUUUACUUCCCUAUGCUGAAUAAAUAUUCACCCUAAUAUAAAAAUAAAUAUGUUCCCUAGAGUGUAAAUAGUAUACUACUGGGGUGUGCUGACUGGCAUAAGUGAUAAAGUUAGAUGACAGAAAAAAAUGGAACUGCUGUCUUGUAAAGGCCUUGACUAAAGGAGGAGGUAAAGAGGCUGAAUCUUACACACCCUGCUUUCUCCAAGAUUAGCAUUAAGUUUCAUUAUCCUCUCCACAGAGUUCUGGUCUUCCACAAUUUAAGCCUUAUUGAAAUUAAGCCUUAUUCAAAGCCAGAUUGCAGGUGAGGAAGAAAGUAGGAAUCAUAAUGAGGUAAAUUCAGAGGCAGCAGUUACAGAGGUGAAUUAAGACAUGGUUUCAUUCAACAAUAACGUAGCGUCUUCUGAACACUUUUUUAUAUCUUUAAGAUGUUUCAAAUAAAACAAUGGAAAAUGUGUAUGUACACAUAAUCACAUGGAUGUGAAGCUGGCAAUUCUACAUUAGUUUAUUUCACAUCUGAGGUUUCAAAUUCAACAUGAAUUUCUAUACUGUGUUUUCCAGUAUUUCAGUGUAAGUAGUGUUUAGUGAGUGUCUGGUAUAUUUCAGUAUCUCGAAAAACAACUAAUGUACCUAAGGAGGAGCCUGUAAUCUGAAGUGAAAUUGUCUUUGCCUAGUGUUAUUUUUUUUUUUCCACAAAAAAAACCCCAAAACGCAAGUAUUGAAAAAACACUGUAAAAAUAAUUUUAAGCAGCAGAAUAUUUGGAAGUAUCAUAAGGAAAAGGAAAUUCUAGAUACAUUAUUAGUAAUUAUCUUACUGUAUCACUCAAUAUUUUCAAUGAAGAAUAGAUCAUAGCAAUCAAUGUAAACAGGCAAAAGAGAUCACACAGAGCAGUUCACAGUCUAAAGAUUAAAAACAGAUUGGAGCUAGAAAAAGAAAAAAGAACUUAUAAGAAAUGAAUGGGGGCAAAAAAAAUGACCUAAUUUUCUUCUGUAUGUAUAUUUGUUCUAUUUCCUGACUUUAAUUAAGUUCUGGAUAUAAUUUUCUUUGUUAUAUUUUUUUACAUUUAUUGUACUUGUAUUUAAAAAAAAAAAAAAGAAUAUGUCUUGCAACUUGCUUUGAGAGUUAUUUGAACACGUGAUUCAGAAUAGGUCAACAUACUGUAGCACACAGCUGUAUUUUUCCAUUUGCAUGAUAGUUUUUUCUGAGAUGAAAGUUUGGUUCUCUCUUGCCAUGUUCCUUGUACAAUAACUUAAUGUGAUGUCCAUAAUGAAGUAGUCUUUGAUGACUUUUCUUGGGAUGGAACGAGCCUUAGGCUAUAAAACAUGCCAGCCAGAUGCUUUUUUUUUCAAGUGCCUUCAAAAAUCUUAAAAAACAAACAAAACAAAACAAAAUAAAAGCCGACAACAUACCAACCAAACUGAACCCCAGAUUUAGUUCUUCAAAUUGGUUAUUCAGAAAGAUGAAAUGGGACUAGAUUUGAAAAAUGGAUAUUUUGCGUGUAUUUCAGCCAAUUUUUUUCACCAGUUGACAGUAAUCAAAAGACAGAACACCACUCCACUUACCAGUGAGAUUCUGAAGAUACGUCUAGGAAGAAUCUUCCAAAUAGAGGCUGAAGCAAACGUGUAAGCAAACAAGAAAUAAGAUGAAUCUCUCUUUUUUUCUGCAUGUGAGAUUCUGAUUACAGAUUUAUUCAACUCUAUUUGUGAAAACAGCUCUGUAGAUUUUUGCCAUGGUAUGAAAUAGUAGAUUUCAGUAAAACAAGAAGUUUGUACUUCAGACAAAUACCAAAGAACUGGUGGAGCAUAGAAAUGACACGUGCUUCAACUUCAAUACAAGAUAAUAUGAGUCCUUAGGUCUUACAUCAUGUUCAUGAAAAUGAUGUACUUUUUGUCUCGUUUCUAAAUCGUAGUGUAUCUCUCCUUUGGACGUAUAGACAUACCUUUUACAAUAGCAAAGAAGCGAUCAGUAGGCCUGUAUUUUUUUGUUCUUGUUUUGGUGAUGUUGUUUUGUCACAUUUGCAAGCUCAACAAGUUGUAUGUGGCCAAAAGAUUCUGUAUCCUAUUUAAACAAUCUUUGUGAGAAUUGAUAGGCUUUGUCUGAUGCAAAGUGAGUGAUUGUGAGACUGAAAUGUGAAUUAUUUUUUUUUUCUGUAAAAAUCUACCAUAUGAUAAAUGAAUCCCAAACAAACAAACAAACAAGCAAAGAUGGUGGCACAAGUGGUAGCUGGUUUCCAUGAAACAUCCCCAAAGAAGCUGACGUAUCAUCAUAACAUUAUACAGAAUAGACAGUCCUGUGUGAUUCCUUAGGGAAGGAAACAGGUGAAUGUCAUUGUAAUACCACCGAAGAAGGACUUAAAAGUACAUACCCUCACCUGAAUUGGUGGCUGUCAUAAUGUUUUCUAAAAAUUACUACAUAAAUCUUGCUUUUUGAUGAUUUCCGAGAUUGAACUCAGCUGAGCUGAAGCCUUUAUUGCAUUGAAUCUCAGUGUGAGUCAAGGACCAAUGGACGUGAAUAAGAAUUAAAGAGAUGCAAGAAAACAGUCCUAAUAAAAAACCACAGCAUUUGGAUGCUACAGUUAGAUUGAAUCCUGAAUUGUCGUUGACGGGUUUCUCAAUCUUGUCAGUAAUGAUGGUCUCCCAUGGUGCCAGCAAACAGUGAGCAAUUUUCUGCAGUAGCUGCUGUGACUAGAUUGUAUCAAGAUGAAAUGUUGUCAGUGUUGUCAUGAGACAAAUAUACAAAAGUAUAUCCUUAGUUAAGUCCCUCUUGCAGAGGAAAACCACCUUUCUGAGUCUGACAAAGCACAGAACGUUCUUCGCAUGAAGAGUAACCUAACCUAGUGUGAACAUUUGUACACUGUAUUUUGUUAUGGCUAAUCCAUGCUUUCUGUACAUAAUUUAAAUCUGUAUUUUGUAACAGGGUUGCUGGUGAGAUAGGAGAGGAAAGUUUUUAAACUGGAUUUAUGGAGAAGCAUUGGUGUAAAUGACAGGUAUCUAGGCCAGAGAUACUGUUCUGUUAGAUCUACUGUAGUCUUUUGUCUGAGGCAUUUAGGAUGACAGAAGUUCAUAGCAAAGCGGCUCUGUAAUGGAAAUUUAACUAUUUUCAAUUAUAAUUAAAUGCGAUCUUAAUUGUGCCAAAGUCUGGAGGCAACGGGAAGUCAUCAAAUCCAAUUAAAUUUAAGCAGAAAUCUUGGGAAGGGUGCUAUUUAAGGUCUGUGUUCUUAUGGUUGCUUUUGUGGGUGGUGUAAGAGAUAUACUGGCAAGUACUGCAUACAAACCACUGACUGGAUGAACUGAGAAAAUCAGUACAUCAGAAUAUUUCUAUCUUUAUUAUUCAGAGGAGGAAAAGUUUUGAUAUUGAGAGGAUAAUGUCUAUAUGCGCUCAGGCACAGUUUAGAGAGAGUGGAAGUAAUAGCAUAUCCAGCAGCUCCACAUCCCUCAGACGCAUCAUCAGCUGAAAAUGACUUUUUCUUUUUAAAAGGUGCUUAUUCCUCAUUGUUGUGUAGCUGAGCACAGUCUGUAAUUCAUCACAUAACCCACUGCAGUACUUGAAUUGGAAAGUGACAACAGUGGCACCAGUUUUUAAAGUCUUUCUGGGAAGUUGGGAUUAAUAUUGGCCUGUGAUCUUUAUAGGUGUUAGUCUGCAACAGGCAAAUAUAAUUUUCAGGGAAAUGAAUAGAAACUGUGGUAAAAUAUAGUUAGUAGACACAUGGAUUAAAAUGAUUUACUGGAGAACAUACAUAGUGGCUUUUUUAAUGGGGUGUUUGAGUCACAAAGCCACUGGAAUUUUUGGAAGUUUUCAGUAAGUGUGUGGGCAAAACAGAGUGUCAGAGUUUCCAGAUGGCCUGCAACAAAUUCUUUUUCCAAAUGUUUUAAGGAAACUCAAUAACUAUAGGAUGGCUGCCUAUACAGUUCAUUGCAUGGAUAGCUAGUUGAGCAAAAGACAGAAAUGAAGUAUUAGGAAUAGUUAGUUCAUGUAGCAGUGGGUUCACUGUUGGGAUCUCAACUAGGACAAGGUUCAGCAUAAACGACCUAGGGAAGGUUUCACUAAGUCUGUUUAUGUGAUUAAAAUUCUUCCUUUGUAAGAAAGAGGGGCUUGAACAGAAGCUGGCAAAAUAAGGUUUGGAACAAAGAAACAGGACGGUCUUUUACCAGUCAUGGAAAUUCUUGACACAGAAAGAGACUUUUCCCUAGCUUCAGGUCUUAUGCUUUUUGACCAAAUUGCGAAAACGGGCCCUAAGAAUUGUUUCAAAGAUACUUCUUGCUUUGAUACAUCACAAAAUCUGGCUUGUAUUAGUAGUAGUAAGGGAUAACAAAUAGUAGUCUCUGGUUGGUAGAUGGAGGUUCUGUGUUUCACAGAGACUGUGCUGCUGCCAGUGCCUUUUGCAGCAGUUAUACAGAAGUACUGAAAAAUGUGUGACGUGUUCCUUCACUGGUACCAUUCAGAUACCAAAGAGGAAUCUCACAGCUAUGUUGUCCAACAUUAGAACAGAACCUGAGAGACUGAAGUUGAAGUGCUGGUAGGGAACAGCUGAAAGAACAGAAUUCUUUAAGUGGUAAAAGACAGAGUGCAUUUCUGGACUCCUGUUUUAAAGAUGAUGAUAUAAAAGAUAAAGUUAAAAACAAGAAAUAUACCAGCAAAGAUGGUUGGGUUUAUUAGAUGCCUGUGAGCAAAGAUAAAGAAUCUCAGAAGCUGCCUGACUUAUCAAGAGUUGCGCUAGCUCAGUUUAAGUUUUGUAGACUUGAGUGAAAUUUGAGCAACCUCUCAGAAUUCUAUCAAAAUAAAUACUUCCAAACAUGUUUUAGGAGCAUCUGAUUAACUAGAUUGAAAAAAACUUCAAAAAACUUAAUGGGCUUUUUUUCCCUCUGAUACGAAAAGAUGCAACAGAUUUAAAAGUGUACAACCUGGAGAGGAGCAAAAGAGCAGAGCCUCUUCUUUUUAUUUUGUCAAGUCAUUCCCACUUAAUUCAAUGGAAAUGAGUAAUUAAUCUUUUCAUAUGACACAGUGUGUCUACUCGCUGUUAGUGCAUGAAAUAAUUGUAUUUGUUGCGUAACUGCUUAUCAUUUUCUUCUAAGAUUGUUUUGAGUCCUUCAGUAAUUUAUGUUACAGCUUAGACAGGCAGUAAAUACAAACUCCAAUAAUCAGUUUGAGAUAAGUAUUUGGAGAGAGUUGUACAUGCUUAAGUGCUGUUUGUAUAUUCUUUAGGCUGCAGAUGUAUUGCAUAUGAAAAAAAUAGAGUAUAGAUGGUGGGAUCUUCUUUCAAUUCCUCCUUGAGAGAUAUAUACAUAUAAACACACACUCUAUACUUGUCUAUAUAUCCUACGUAUGUAUGUCUAUAUAUACUUAUAUACACUCCUUCUCUCUCUCCCUAUAUAUAUAUGCACACCCCUCCUUUUUUCUCUCAGGUAUAUUGCUAUAUUUUACCUGUUCAAGAUAUCUUCUUUGUACCAGUUGUAAAAAUGAUCUCCUUGCAUUACUUCCCUGUAUUGUAUCUGUAGCCUGGUCUCUCGUUUUUCUUCCUUUCUAACCCUUCUAUUCUUCGCAGUUGAGGAGCACAUGCAAUUUGUCCUUCUUCAGUGGACCCUCCAACUGAGAAUCCCUCUGCUUCAUCUUUCGUUUCAUUUUACUCUCUUUUCUGUUUCCCCUCUCUCGGCUAGUGACCAAGAAGGUAGCAUACAGAAAGCAAUGUUUAUCACAGGAGUGAAAACAAUAUUCCUCAUUCUUCUUUGCAAUUUUCACAUUUUGUAUUGCAGAUCUGUAUUAUGGAUCAUUCUAGAAAGCGCUGUUGUCCAUUUAGGUCUUCAAUAUGAGUAGAACAUUACUUCUGAGUUGUUAGGGCCAUACGUACAGCAGUAAGUGCUGUAGGGCCCAGCCACAGGGCAGAAAUGUUUUGACAUUCGUGGAAACAAUGUCUUAUUUCUUGGGCAAUAUGGUCUCAGCUGGAGUGGAAGGAAAAGUUCUCACAGUCUGAGAAGACUGUCUGCCAUGCCAGUUUCUUUCAGUUCCUCCAACUUUCACGAAGGGUUCUUUGUGCAAAAGGAGAAAUAGAUAGAAAUAGAUUAAAGUGCAAGAAAAACUUCGGAAUGGAUCUCAUACUUCUAAAUUCGACUUGAUUUAUAAGUAGUCAUCACUAUACUACAAGGGUUCCCCACCAACUCAUCUGCAUUUUUUUUGUUUGUUUAUUUUUUAAUAAAACUGCAAAGUUUUAUAACUUUUAAUAAGAAUGCAAACAGAAUCCUCUGUCACAGGCUGUUUGCCUUAUACAUUUUAGAUACCCGCAUCUUUUUAAAUGUAAAUGUAGCUAAUUAAAAAAGCAUACCUAAAUGGAUUAUUUCUUCCCGUGAUAAUGUUUCUUACUGAAAAUAACUUCAAAUUUUUGUAUGUUCUCCCAACACAGAAAUAAAACUAAAAAAGAUAGUUUGAAAAACAUUGCUAAUUUUUAUCUAACUGAACUGUGUAAUAUUUGAACUUGGUCAAUUAACUGAACUGUGUCAGGCAGCAUUUUGUUUCUCCUGAGUGGUCACUACAGAAUUGUCAAAUCAUGAAAUGUGAAUGAUAAGUGCUCGAUGGGUCCUGCAAGCACGUGGUGGCAUUCUCCCAAGUUCCCCUCACUGCUGCUUCCAAACUGGAAUGCCAUUCAGCAGGCACGAACAGGAAGACUGAAGUGCCAGGUGCUUGGGCUUACGGCACAUACCUACAGUUGAAACUUCAUGUCAGUGUAUAGAGAAGUGGCUGACUCCAGCUAUCCCUUUCUUUUUUUGAGGUUCAGCUCCGGUCAUUGCAACCUCAUCCAGGGAUACUCCAUUGAGGGAGCUGCUUAUCUGGUCAUCUUGCAGUCACUUUCUUAAUACACAACAUAUGUGGAUCUGUUCUGAAUCCUAACUAUUAUAAAGAGUUGUUCAUUUUUGGGUAGUGAAUGCCAAAUGCAUGUGAAAUACUCUCAUGUCAAUUUAACACUAUAGCAAGGUCAUUAUUUCUGCUUGUGUUAUAUAUAUAUAUCCGAGUCAUUGCUCACACCCAAGGAUUUCAUUAAUACUCCUUGUCAUAACAUCAUAUUGGGAGUUCCCAUUUUCUCUGAAUUUUUUUCAGUAUCACCAUUUACCAGCACUCAAACUCUCUUGGUGUUACUGUGGGCUGUAUUCUGGCUCCCUCUGUGUUUUUACUGUUCCACUAACAGAUUUCUCUGUAUUUCUUCUUUCUCCAUAUCACUGUUUACAAGUAGUCUUUGUAUAAAUUAAAAUAAUUACCAGUUUAGUAGUUAGCAAAUUUAUAAUCUCUAAAACACUCAAAGUAGGUACGGCUGCCAAGAAAUUCAUUAUGUAAACGCAAAUGUAGUGUUUAAUUAUAUUCCCACAAUAAACUAAAUUUUUUGUAAUUUUUUCCUAUAUCUCGCAUGAUAUUUAUACUGCUUAUAGUGCCUUCAUUUUAUACUAGAAUGUGAGCAUGUUCCCAAAUUUCUUAAGUAGUGGUUGAAAUACAUCUCCAGACAUCGUCUUAGAGCUUUUUAGGGAGGCAAGUAUUAAAUAAUAAAAUUAAAUAAAAUUAGUGUUGAUUUAGUGAUCCUUAUCCCUGGUCCAUGAUCAGUAUUUAUCUGCUGAUGUUACUCAUACAAUGAAGAAAUCGCAUGUGAUGAGAACCACAUUCUAUUUUUUUUUUUUUUUUUUGUAAAUUUAAGUAUAAUUUGAACACUUGAGCAUCAUAGAAAUGCUGAAACUACGCAGCAUGCCAAACUAUCAUUGAAGUUUUUAACACGGCUAGAGCUUCUCUUGUUGCUAAAUUUUAAAGCCUUUUUCAUAAUGAUUGCUUAUCUCUGCCUUCAAUGGUUUGAUUCUGGUUGGUCUUAGAUCUUAUCACCACGUUUCUAGCAACAUCCCACCCACUGGUAAUGAUAAAUAACUGAUUUCCCUUGCAUUUGCCAUUCUCCAAUCCAAAAUCUCUGGAGCAGAUUUAGCAUCAGCUACCAUCCUUGUGGAGGUGGGGAUAGAAAAGGAGAAAUAUCAACAAUCAAUGUGAUUCAUUCCGGACCCUUUGUAGUUGUGUUUGAGUAAAGGUAAUCUUUGCUUAUUUUCAGGCGGUAUAUUUCAGAAUUUGAUGUUAAUGUGUAAUUUUCUAAUUAAUUUUAAAUAUGUUUCUAAAAAUUAUUAGAGAAACAGCUCCCAUAAAUAAUCUCAGCUAAAAAAGUGUGAACUAAAAUUCCGCAGAACAACUCUAUUUAUCAGUUUAGGUGAAGAAAGCGUAUGUUGCUUUAGCGGAUGGUUGCAGUCUGACACAAUAUUGCAAGUAUCUUUUGAAACAAGGUCUUAUUACCUUAAACUUCAGAGUAGUUAAAUUGCUUCCACAUACGAACACUUUUCUUAACACCUAAACAGACAGACAUCAUGUCGUGAUUCAAAAAUCAUCUUGCUUUUUGCUGCCUCUGGAAGUCAGGUGUUGAUAUUUUCUAGGAAGCUGUUUGCUCUGUAGUUACUGUGCUGGAGCAAGGCUGAAAAUGUAUUACUGUGCAGCCUGCAGUUUUCAAGUAUGAAUGGAACACCCCACCAGCCUGCUGAGAUGAAUUUUCUGCACAGUCAUGUCCUUGAAUCACAAGCAAUCAGUGAAGCACAGUUGCAAGAGAUGAUUCUGGGAAAGAAACCUGGGGGAUAACUGUUUUCAGAGGAACAAAUGUCAGCAAGAAAACUGUAGCUCUGAUCCCACAGUUGGCUCCUGGUUAAUUCUUGAAAUUAGGUGUAUUGAACCAACCGCAGGACCUUGGUCUCAAAAAGGCAUAAGUCUGUCAUACCUAUUUUAAUCAUCAUAUUUAAAUCUUGAAUAGAACUUAUUUUAAGGAUCGUGAAUACUUUUAAAUAGAGCUGUUUUUUACUCAUGCCCAAAAGCUACAUCUCCUAGAAAACUAAAUAUAGAUUUAGGAGCUCCUCUUUAGGCACUCUUGUUAAGAAAAUUCUGAAUGCUCGUCUUGAAAAUACCCCUCCACUUUCUUGGAUAACAUGAACUAACAAAAAACUGAUUUAAAAGAGAAGAACAUAAGAGUUAACAUUCUAGGUAAAAAUGCAACACCUU